Molecule: long non-coding RNA, 416 nt
Organism: Solanum dulcamara
Lineage: Eukaryota; Viridiplantae; Streptophyta; Magnoliopsida; Solanales; Solanaceae
Exons: 4
Source: RefSeq, a predicted model, not a curated record
GCGUAUUAUAAUAUCAACAGCUACGGUUGAAGCAAAAUCAAUGGCUGCUUUCUUUAAUACUAGAAGACAGGAGCAGGAGCAAGGACCAACAAAAGAACCUGCUAUUCUGUCAGUUGAGAUCCUGUUUCUGAUUACGUUCGGUCCGCUGUUUCAACAGUGAUGUCGAUCCAUGUCCAGGAGGCGACCACCGGUUUUAGGAACAACUAAACAACCCUUACUUGUCAAAAUGAUGAAACAUGGUGUUCUUUUCAUAGUUUGUGAAUAACUUGAGCCUUGAAGGUUCGUUGUGACAAAACAUUCUAUGAGCGUCUUCAUCUUUCCGCGAAUAUUUACUGAUCGUAUAGAUUAAGAUUGAGAAUAACAAUUUAUAAAUUACAUAUUGAGAGCUAAGUUUGUCUAAUCACAUCUCUCCAAUA